This 898-nucleotide ribosomal RNA is filed under the name uncultured bacterium. RNAcentral describes it as "bacterial SSU rRNA". It matches the Rfam family "Bacterial small subunit ribosomal RNA", at positions 8 to 895 of the family's 1533-position model. The record is from RNAcentral.
AGAGUUUGAUUAGGGCUCAGAUUGAACGCUGGCGGCAGGCUUAACACAUGCAAGUCGAGCGGCAGCGGAAAGAAGCUUGCUUCUUUGCCGGCGAGCGGCGGACGGGUGAGUAAUGUCUGGGGAUCUGCCCGAUGGAGGGGGAUAACUACUGGAAACGGUAGCUAAUACCGCAUAAUGUCGCAAGACCAAAGUGGGGGACCUUCGGGCCUCACACCAUCGGAUGAACCCAGAUGGGAUUAGCUAGUAGGUGGGGUAAUGGCUCACCUAGGCGACGAUCCCUAGCUGGUCUGAGAGGAUGACCAGCCACACUGGAACUGAGACACGGUCCAGACUCCUACGGGAGGCAGCAGUGGGGAAUAUUGCACAAUAGGGGAAACCCUGAUGCAGCCAUGCCGCGUGUGUGAAGAAGGCCUUCGGGUUGUAAAGCACUUUCAGCGGGGAGGAAGGCAAUGGCGUUAAUAGUGUCAUUGAUUGACGUUACCCGCAGAAGAAGCACCGGCUAACUCCGUGCCAGCAGCCGCGGUAAUACGGAGGGUGCGAGCGUUAAUCGGAAUUACUGGGCGUAAAGCGUACGCAGGCGGUCUGUUAAGUCAGAUGUGAAAUCCCCGGGCUUAACCUGGGAACUGCAUUUGAAACUGGCAGGCUAGAGUCUCGUAGAGGGGGGUAGAAUUCCAGGUGUAGCGGUGAAAUGCGUAGAGAUCUGGAGGAAUACCGGUGGCGAAGGCGGCCCCCUGGACGAAGACUGACGCUCAGGUACGAAAGCGUGGGGAGCAAACAGGAUUAGAUACCCUGGUAGUCCACGCUGUAAACGAUGUCGAUUUGAAGGUUGUGGUCUUGAGCCGUGGCUUUCGGAGCUAACGCGUUAAAUCGACCGCCUGGGGAGUAUGGCCGCAAGGUU